RNAcentral lists this non-coding RNA (177 nucleotides) under Furfurilactobacillus rossiae. RNAcentral describes it as "Lactobacillus rossiae Lysine sequence". It matches the Rfam family "Lysine riboswitch aptamer". Rfam says of the family: Riboswitches are metabolite binding domains within certain messenger RNAs that serve as precision sensors for their corresponding targets. Allosteric rearrangement of mRNA structure is mediated by ligand binding, and this results in modulation of gene expression. The record is from RNAcentral. Lineage: Bacteria; Bacillati; Bacillota; Bacilli; Lactobacillales; Lactobacillaceae.
AAUGUGAAAAGAGGUUGCAACCAACAAGAGUAAUCAGCGGAGUCGGGUCACGACAUAGAAACUGAUGAAAGGGGCGGUUGCCGAAGCUGGACGAUUGACCAUCGCUUUGGCUGGGAUGUUGAUGAACAAUCAGCAAACUGUCGUGAUGAAAAAUUCAUCGCGGGGCGCUUACGACAU